This is a long non-coding RNA of Piliocolobus tephrosceles (Ugandan red Colobus), 620 nucleotides long. RefSeq lists it as uncharacterized. The transcript is spliced from 3 exons. Lineage: Eukaryota; Metazoa; Chordata; Mammalia; Primates; Cercopithecidae. The record is from RefSeq and is a predicted model, not a curated record.
UCACGGUCACAGGAGACUGGGCAACUCCAGUUCUCCCUGUCCCCAGCCCUUCGCCUAGCCCUGGCAAAACCCAUUGCAUCAGCAGCUUCUACAGCUUCCGCCUGCGCCCUACCUGCCAAGCUUGGACAGGAAGAGGAAAGGAAAGAGAAACUUUACUCCAAUCCCCCCUCCUCUGUUAACUUCCCCUCCCACCCUCGAGCCCUAACUAGCCCCUGGGACGCCUCCUCCCCACCAACGCAUCCAUCCCCAGAGGAAAAAGCGAGGAUCUCAGAGCGCGACCUGGGCAGGCUCUCACGGAAGUCACCACGUUUGUGUAGGUAACUAAGGCCUACCGAAACCACUCAGCCCUAAGUGCACACAGGAGAACCAUGGAGUUGGAGGAAAAGAGUUCCACGGGCACGUAUGGUGUAAGGCUUUGAUGGAGAAUGAAUGAAGCUGGACAAGAUGCCAUAAUGCAGUUUCACCAGUGGAGAGAGCCGCCUCUCAUCAGAGGCUUCUGCCUUCACAAAAUAUUGAUGAGGUCCCCGCCACAGUGUCAUUGUCAUGGGAACUGAUAAGGGUGAGAGAAAAGACAAGUGAAGAGAAGAGUGUACCUGAAAUAAAAUCUAGUUGACCACAAA